UAAUACGUAGGGACCAAGCGUUGUUCGGAUUUACUGGGCGUAAAGGGUGCGUAGGCGGCUUGUCAAGUCAGUUGUGAAAUCUCCGAGCUUAACUCGGAACGGUCAACUGAUACUGUCAUGCUAGAGUGCAGAAGGGGCAAUCGGAAUUCUUGGUGUAGCGGUGAAAUGCGUAGAUAUCAAGAGGAACACCUGAGGUGAAGACGGGUUGCUGGGCUGACACUGACGCUGAAGCACGAAAGCUAGGGUAGCAAACGGGAUUAGAUACCCCGGUAGUCCUAGCCCUAAACGAUGAAUGCUUGGUGUCUGGAGUUUCAAUUCUCCGGGUGCCGUCGCUAACGUUUUAAGCAUUCCGCCUGGGGAGUACGUACGCAAGUAUG
This 377-nucleotide ribosomal RNA is filed under the name uncultured bacterium. Its description in RNAcentral is "bacterial SSU rRNA". It matches the Rfam family "Bacterial small subunit ribosomal RNA", at positions 521 to 896 of the family's 1533-position model. The record is from RNAcentral.